ACCGGUUUAGCUCAGCUGGUUAGUUUAAAUUAAAGCGUCAGUUUAACAUGCUGAAGGUCGCGAGUUCGAAAAAUUAAAAAAACUUGUAACUGGUA
Molecule: transfer RNA, 95 nt
Filed under: Cryptomonas curvata
Lineage: Eukaryota; Cryptophyceae; Cryptomonadales; Cryptomonadaceae
Description: tRNA-Val
Source: RNAcentral